This is a small nucleolar RNA of Tachyglossus aculeatus (Australian echidna), 138 nucleotides long. Lineage: Eukaryota; Metazoa; Chordata; Mammalia; Monotremata; Tachyglossidae. The record is from RefSeq and is a predicted model, not a curated record.
ACCCUCUCAGGGUCGCAUCUGGAGAGUUUCCAGUCCUCUACCAGCCUCGGCUACGGGAGGGAAAGUGAAGCAGAGGCCUGUCUAUUCCAUUUCUAGCUUGGCCAGUGGCUAGUGAGUGGCAGGCAACCUGCUACAAGU